RNAcentral lists this ribosomal RNA (97 nucleotides) under uncultured marine bacterium. Its description in RNAcentral is "partial small subunit ribosomal RNA". The record is from RNAcentral.
CGCGCAAAACCUUACCUAGGCUUGAAAUCCUACGAAUCUGGGGUAAUUCCCGGAGUGCCCGCAAGGGAAUGUAGUGACAGGUGCUGCAUGGCCGUCG